GACGAACGCUGGCGGCGUGCUUAACACAUGCAAGUCGAGCGGUAAGGCCCUUUCGGGGGUACACGAGCGGCGAACGGGUGAGUAACACGUGGGUGACCUGCCCUCAGCUCUGGGAUAAGCCUGGGAAACCGGGUCUAAUACCGGAUAUGACUCCAUGACGCAUGUUGUGGGGUGGAAAGCCUUGUGCGGCUGAGGAUGGGCCCGCGGCCUAUCAGCUUGUUGGUGGGGNGAUGGCCUACCAAGGCGACGACGGGUAGCCGGCCUGAGAGGGCGACCGGCCACACUGGGACUGAGACACGGCCCAGACUCCUACGGGGGGCAGCAGUGGGGAAUCUUGCGCAAUGGGCGAAAGCCUGACGCAGCGACGCCGCGUGAGGGAUGACGGCCUCGG
RNAcentral lists this ribosomal RNA (391 nucleotides) under uncultured bacterium. RNAcentral describes it as "bacterial SSU rRNA". It matches the Rfam family "Bacterial small subunit ribosomal RNA", at positions 28 to 420 of the family's 1533-position model. The record is from RNAcentral.